AGAGUUUGAUCAUGGCUCAGAUUGAACGCUGGCGGCAGGCCUAACACAUGCAAGUCGAGCGGUAGCACAGAGAGCUUGCUCUCGGGUGACGAGCGGCGGACGGGUGAGUAAUGUCUGGGAAACUGCCUGAUGGAGGGGGAUAACUACUGGAAACGGUAGCUAAUACCGCAUAAUGUCGCAAGACCAAAGUGGGGGACCUUCGGGCCUCAUGCCAUCAGAUGUGCCCAGAUGGGAUUAGCUAGUAGGUGGGGUAACGGCUCACCUAGGCGACGAUCCCUAGCUGGUCUGAGAGGAUGACCAGCCACACUGGAACUGAGACACGGUCCAGACUCCUACGGGAGGCAGCAGUGGGGAAUAUUGCACAAUGGGCGCAAGCCUGAUGCAGCCAUGCCGCGUGUGUGAAGAAGGCCUUCGGGUUGUAAAGCACUUUCAGCGGGGAGGAAGGCGAUAAGGUUAAUAACCUUGUCGAUUGACGUUACCCGCAGAAGAAGCACCGGCUAACUCCGUGCCAGCAGCCGCGGUAAUACGGAGGGUGCAAGCGUUAAUCGGAAUUACUGGGCGUAAAGCGCACGCAGGCGGUCUGUCAAGUCGGAUGUGAAAUCCCCGGGCUCAACCUGGGAACUGCAUUCGAAACUGGCAGGCUAGAGUCUUGUAGAGGGGGGUAGAAUUCCAGGUGUAGCGGUGAAAUGCGUAGAGAUCUGGAGGAAUACCGGUGGCGAAGGCGGCCCCCUGGACAAAGACUGACGCUCAGGUGCGAAAGCGUGGGGAGCAAACAGGAUUAGAUACCCUGGUAGUCCACGCCGUAAACGAUGUCGAUUUGGAGGUUGUGCCCUUGAGGCGUGGCUUCCGGAGCUAACGCGUUAAAUCGACCGCCUGGGGAGUACGGCCGCAAGGUUAAAACUCAAAUGAAUUGACGGGGGCCCGCACAAGCGGUGGAGCAUGUGGUUUAAUUCGAUGCAACGCGAAGAACCUUACCUGGUCUUGACAUCCACAGAACUU
Molecule: ribosomal RNA, 999 nt
Filed under: Klebsiella pneumoniae
Lineage: Bacteria; Pseudomonadati; Pseudomonadota; Gammaproteobacteria; Enterobacterales; Enterobacteriaceae
Also listed under: 3 other names
Description: bacterial SSU rRNA
Rfam family: Bacterial small subunit ribosomal RNA
Source: RNAcentral